This 353-nucleotide transfer-messenger RNA is filed under the name Deinobacterium chartae. Its description in RNAcentral is "Standard tmRNA". It matches the Rfam family "transfer-messenger RNA". Rfam says of the family: Bacterial tmRNA, also known as 10Sa RNA or SsrA, is named for its dual tRNA and mRNA-like properties. Its role is to liberate the mRNA from a stalled ribosome. The record is from Rfam by way of RNAcentral. Lineage: Bacteria; Thermotogati; Deinococcota; Deinococci; Deinococcales; Deinococcaceae.
GGGGGCGACCCGGUUUCGACGGGGAUCGCGGAAGGUGAGGCUGCGAGCCGAGGUGCCGUUGGCCUCGUAAAAAAACGGCACGCCUAUAACUGGCAACCAGAACUACCAACUCGCUGCUUAAUUGACGGCGACGGUGACCGCGUAGCCCCGCCCUUGGCGCCGCGCGAACUGUGACAAAAAAGGGCUAGCAAGGACCGAGGCCUCAUAGGUCCGCGCGAAACUUAAAUGAGGAUGGGUCCAAAGGCAGCCUGUCCGUAGGCGACCCAGGACCGACAUUCAAAUUACGGACUACGCUCGUAGAUGCCCGCUGGACGGGUUCUCGGACGAGAGUUCGACUCUCUCCGCCUCCACCA